This 3795-nucleotide long non-coding RNA is filed under the name Malus domestica (apple). RNAcentral describes it as "long non-coding RNA (MDOM_LNC000825)". Lineage: Eukaryota; Viridiplantae; Streptophyta; Magnoliopsida; Rosales; Rosaceae. The record is from RNAcentral.
CUUGCGAUGUUCCUUUUUCUGCAAUAUAAGCCAUCACAUGAUUUCAGUUCCAUAAAUUAAUGAUGACAGAAAGAAAAAAGUUGCUUGAAAUUUGGAGGUAUGUGAGACGUCUAACUGCAAUAUAAGCCAUCACAUGAUUUCAGUUCCAUAAAUUAAUGUUCAUUUUUCUCUAUUUUUAACCAACCAUGGCCUAGUACUUUUUGUGUUAAUGAGGGAUGAAGGGGUUGUUCAUGGGAGUUGUUCCCCGUGUAGGUCGUGCCGGCCCUUCUGUUGGCAUGGUCAUCUCCUCAUAUGAAGUCGUCAAGUAUUUUCGUCCCUUCUCAUCUCCUCUGCUCCUCCCCCUCCCUGCAUCCCUCCUCCUCUUCCUUCCCAUUUUCCAGUUUUCUUCCUUCCUUUUUAAUUCCUGUUCUCUCAUGAGUUUAAUCUCAGUUUUUUUUUAGUCAAGUCUCAACUAUCUUGGGCUUCAUGGCCCUUAUCCGACUUUUUUCACCUGCUUUUACUACUUUCUAUCUUUUAAUUUUUCUUCUUCCCUCUUCCUUAGGCGUAAUAUUUCAUUCCCACACACCAUGUGCUCGGAUUGAUGGGAUUCGAUAAAAAAUUAAAUAUAAGAUCCACUUCCCUCCCUUACUUCCCCUCCCCCAACCGGCAUGCCGGAUCCCCAUUGAGACCAAGUGUUAUGUGGCCUUCACCACAGUAUGGGUAUUUUACAUACCCUCAUCCUCACUUUUUACCCAUAAGAUACUUUAUUUGUGUAUAUUUGUAGGGAUUAGUGAAGGGAUUUGGAUCUGGUGUCUACUUUCUCGGUUCAGAGUUUGACUUCCUUUGAGGAUGUGGCUGCGGUGGCGAUCUGAUUUAUGCUGCUUGAGAUUAGGGUUGUUUGUUGUUUGUUUUUUCAGCCUUAAAGCCUAAGCUUAUGUGGGUCUCACGUUGUAUCUUGGUUGCGGCUCUCAUUUUGCUUAGGCCUUUUACUUUAUGUUGUUGUUUACCUGGCUCUUUUUGGGCCCUUAUACUAGUUUUUAAUAUAAUGAAAGUUCGCUUCUUGAUUUUAAAAAAAAAACAAACAAACAAAGACUACCAGAAGGGGGAUUAAUUCCAGAAUACUAUGUUCUGACAUCUAAUAGGAGAGUUUCUCCAGUGCAAAUGCAAAUCCGCCAGUGUCAAUGGUGUUUAGGGUCCGAAAGAAGUACUUAUAACUCCCUAAUUUUCUUUAUUCCAUUUUCAAGACUAACUCUUUAGAAAGAUUCAUAACAGUAAGCAUAAAAGACUUGUAAAGUAAAUAUACAUACAGGAAGUUAGGAUGACUAGGGAAAAGUGGAUGGGGAAGAUAGAAAGAGGUUUACACAGAGAGACAAAUGGAGAAGAUGGACUGGUUAGGGUUUUGAUUUUUAAUAAUUAAGGGCAUGUUUGGUUAAUUAGUUGGGUUUUUAAUAAGGGUAGUUUAGGUACUAUCAGUCUGAUGUCCUUUUGUCCGAAACAUGGCCUGUUGAUUGGAGAGGGUUAUUAGAGCAUUUUCAAUAGAGAGGUCAAAAGAUAAAUGCCAAAUGUUAAUUUGAUGACUAACAUUACAAUGUCAAAAUUUCUCUUUUUCCAACCGAUAUAUUUUUUUAGUUAUAAAUUAUAUUUGUAGGAUACAUUUUAAAAAGAAAUCAAUUAAAAUAAAUUUUCAAGAUCUAUAAUUGGUGCAUUAAUGUCAUAGCCCGUCCCGAAAAAUAAUUCUUAUUGACGUGAAAAGACGGAAAUACCCUCGGACAUUGAAUGAUGCGUGUAUGAUAUGUUUUGGUGUAAGUAUUUGGGAUUGGUGACUCAAUUAGAACUAAGUUUUUUCUUAGUUUUGGUUGGUGGCUUUUGGACCACACACACACCCACCUACCCACUCUCUCUCUCUCUCUCUCCCCUUCCCGUGCUCUCUCUCUCUCAGACUUACUCUCUCUUUCUCUUCUCUCUUGUACGGACACAACCAGAAGCCCUUACAAACAUGGCAGAUAGAAGAAGAAAAUGGUACCAUGGUGUUCCUAUGGUCCUCACGAGUUCAAAGGUACCAAAUAUAGGUAAGAUUACCUUUGAUUUCACGUCGAAUCACAAAACCCGAUUUGAGGUACUAUUCAUGCUCACGUAAAAUGUUGAAUUUUAGGGAAUUUAAAGGACAUAGGGAGUUUAAGGAGGUCCUUACGAAGCUCGGAGUACUUCGUUUGAAGAUUUUGGACUUCGGAAUAGUGAGAACGGAGAGUUUCAAAUCUGGCCAGAAUUAUUGAGGCUUUUUCCGGCCAAUUUCCGACAAGUCGAAGGUCAAGCCAGGUACGGUUGUGUUCAUCUUUGUGAGAUCUUCAUUUUGGUAUAAAGUACGUAGAAAAUGGUGCAAAAAUGAAGAAGAAACCAUAGUUAGAAAAUUUUCCAGUUUUUCGGCGCCGAUGAUGGUCGCCGGAGUUUUGAAGAAGAAGACGAUGGAAUAUUCCGUCAAGUCUGACGGAAUAUUCCAACAGCGUUAACUGAUGUCGUCAAUGUGCCUGGCACAUGGCCGCGCAUGGGGGGCGCGUCUGGCUGUGCCAUUGUCGGCGCGUGGGGGCGCGUGAGGCUUCCAAAAAUUUAUCUAAAAAUUUGGGGAUGAUCCUGAGGUUGUAUAGGUCACUGUGGUAUAUUCAUAUACCCAAUUUGAGCAAUAUAUGAAAAGUUAUUAUCUAUUGUUGGUUAUGUGCGUUAAAUAACCUUUAUUCGAUUAUUACGCCUAUAGGUGAGGCCUAUUCUCGGGAGGAGCGUAAUCAAUUGAGGCUCGGGGGCUACGACCCAUUGACAUCUCAGUGAGUGGGCAGUUAUUUUCAGUAUAUAUAUAUAUAUAUAUAUAUAUAUAUAUAUAUACACUUGACGUUUUUCCCAGAAAACGUAUUUAAAGGAAAUGCAAUUUAAAUGCCAUGCAUAUACAAUUAUGUUUCGUACAUGAAUUGAUGUGUGAUACCUUAUAUAUAUAAAUGUGGUGUUGUGGAGGUCCAUGUAAGUUCAGGUAAGUUGUGUUUGGUUAUGUAAAUCAUCGAUGAUGCGAUAUUCGAUUGAGAAGCGUUAGCUCAUAAACUUGCACCAAUGGUGAUUGCGAUUUAGCCAGAGAGAGCUGGCACAUGCCCGUAUAUUAUGUCACCUCCCGCACCAUAUGCUCACAUUGGAUCCAAUUAGGUGUACAGUCUUGUCGUACAGACCACUAUAAGUGGUUCCGACUCGUAGGUGACUAAUGUAUUAUCACACAUCUAGCAUUGAGAGAGUAGAAUUGAGCAUAAUUAUAUUACACCCAACCUUGUUGUACAGACCCUUUUCAGUGGUUCCGACUUAUGUGCAAUAUAUUGUCGUAUAGGUCGUUAUAGUGACUCCGGCUAAAUUGACUAUUGAGUUAUAAACUCAGCCGUACAGACCACCCCAGGGGUUCCGGCUAACAUAUCAUAUUUCUAUGAAAUUAUUCUUACCUGAAUUGUGUACUUUGUUAUAUAUUGGCAUGGCAUGCAUAUGUUUAUGAAUGUGUAAAGCAUGAAUUGAAUUGAAAUGAUAUAUUUAUAUACUUAUUUAUGUAUUCUAAUUUCUGGGAAAAUAAUCAUAUACUUGUUUUACGGCAAGGGGUUAGUAUAUUCAAAUGAAAAUAAGGUUUUCGUGUAAAUGUGUUUUACUGACCCACUCAACUUUGUUUUUUUGCCCCUCCAGGUCUUAGAUAGCAGAGUUUGGUGGCCACGAGGAAUCCAACGGUGUUCUGACAGAAUCCGAAAAUGCAGGAUUCACCUUCGGGUGUUGUAUUUAGCAAUCGUCCCCUUGACUGCAACU